CUGCUCGCUUUGGGAGCACGUAUACUAAAAUUGGAACAAUACAGAGAUUAUCAUAGCUUCUGCGCAAGGAUAACCCACAAAUUCUUGAAGUGUUCCAUAUUUUU
Molecule: small nuclear RNA, 104 nt
Filed under: Catagonus wagneri (Chacoan peccary)
Lineage: Eukaryota; Metazoa; Chordata; Mammalia; Artiodactyla; Tayassuidae
Source: RNAcentral